Molecule: ribosomal RNA, 465 nt
Filed under: Vreelandella stevensii
Lineage: Bacteria; Pseudomonadati; Pseudomonadota; Gammaproteobacteria; Oceanospirillales; Halomonadaceae
Description: partial 16S ribosomal RNA
Rfam family: Bacterial small subunit ribosomal RNA
Source: RNAcentral
CCCACGGGAGGCAGCAGUGGGGAAUAUUGGACAAUGGGGGCAACCCUGGUCCAGCCAUGCCGCGUGUGUGAAGAAGGCCCUCGGGUUGUAAAGCACUUUCAGUGAGGAAGAACGCCUGGUGGUUAAUACCCAUCAGGAAAGACAUCACUCACAGAAGAAGCACCGGCUAACUCCGUGCCAGCAGCCGCGGUAAUACGGAGGGUGCGAGCGUUAAUCGGAAUUACUGGGCGUAAAGCGCGCGUAGGUGGCUUGAUAAGCCGGUUGUGAAAGCCCCGGGCUCAACCUGGGAACGGCAUCCGGAACUGUCAAGCUAGAGUGCAGGAGAGGAAGGUAGAAUUCCCGGUGUAGCGGUGAAAUGCGUAGAGAUCGGGAGGAAUACCAGUGGCGAAGGCGGCCUUCUGGACUGACACUGACACUGAGGUGCGAAAGCGUGGGUAGCAAACAGGAUUAGAUACCCGGGUAGUC